Molecule: ribosomal RNA, 703 nt
Filed under: uncultured Streptococcaceae bacterium
Lineage: Bacteria; Bacillati; Bacillota; Bacilli; Lactobacillales; Streptococcaceae
Description: bacterial SSU rRNA
Rfam family: Bacterial small subunit ribosomal RNA
Source: RNAcentral
GCUUGGUGCUUGCACCGAGCGGAUGAGUUGCGAACGGGUGAGUAACGCGUAGGUAACCUGCCUCUUAGCGGGGGAUAACUAUUGGAAACGAUAGCUAAUACCGCAUAAAAGUCGAUAUCGCAUGAUAUUGAUUUGAAAGGUGCAAUUGCAUCACUAAGAGAUGGACCUGCGUUGUAUUAGCUAGUUGGUGAGGUAACGGCUCACCAAGGCGACGAUACAUAGCCGACCUGAGAGGGUGAUCGGCCACACUGGGACUGAGACACGGCCCAGACUCCUACGGGAGGCAGCAGUAGGGAAUCUUCGGCAAUGGGGGCAACCCUGACCGAGCAACGCCGCGUGAGUGAAGAAGGUUUUCGGAUCGUAAAGCUCUGUUGUAAGAGAAGAACGAGUGUGAGAGUGGAAAGUUCACACUGUGACGGUAACUUACCAGAAAGGGACGGCUAACUACGUGCCAGCAGCCGCGGUAAUACGUAGGUCCCGAGCGUUAUCCGGAUUUAUUGGGCGUAAAGCGAGCGCAGGCGGUUAGAUAAGUCUGAAGUUAAAGGCUGUGGCUUAACCAUAGUACGCUUUGGAAACUGUUUAACUUGAGUGCAGAAGGGGAGAGUGGAAUUCCAUGUGUAGCGGUGAAAUGCGUAGAUAUAUGGAGGAACACCGGUGGCGAAAGCGGCUCUCUGGUCUGUAACUGACGCUGAGGCUCGAAAGC